GACGAACGCUGGCGGCGUGCCUAACACAUGCAAGUCGAACGGAACUGUUUUGAAAGAUUUCUUCGGAAUGAAUUUGAUUUAGUUUAGUGGCGGACGGGUGAGUAACGCGUGAGUAACCUGCCUUCAAGAGGGGAAUAACAUUCUGAAAAGAAUGCUAAUACCGCAUGACAUAUCGGAACCACAUGGUUUUGAUAUCAAAGAUUUUAUCGCUUGAAGAUGGACUCGCGUCCGAUUAGUUAGUUGGUGAGGUAACGGCUCACCAAGACCGCGAUCGGUAGCCGGACUGAGAGGUUGAACGGCCACAUUGGGACUGAGACACGGCCCAGACUCCUACGGGAGGCAGCAGUGGGGGAUAUUGCGCAAUGGGGGCAACCCUGACGCAGCAACGACGCGUGAAGGAUGAAGGUUUUCGGAUUGUAAACUUCUUUUAUUAAGGACGAAAAAUGACGGUACUUAGUGAAUAAGCUCCGGCUAACUACGUG
This 482-nucleotide ribosomal RNA is filed under the name uncultured bacterium. RNAcentral describes it as "partial 16S ribosomal RNA". It matches the Rfam family "Bacterial small subunit ribosomal RNA", at positions 28 to 507 of the family's 1533-position model. The record is from RNAcentral.